Molecule: microRNA precursor, 140 nt
Filed under: Podarcis lilfordi (Lilford's wall lizard)
Lineage: Eukaryota; Metazoa; Chordata; Lepidosauria; Squamata; Lacertidae
Source: RNAcentral
GCUGCGCAGAGAGGGAGAGCUGCGCAGUGCCCCUUCAGCGAAGCGCCUCGCCUGUGAAGCGGGAGGAGGAACGGAGCCCAUUCUGUUCCUCCUCCCGCUUCGCUGAAGGGGCGCUGCGCAGCUCUCCCUCUCUGUUCCUC